RNAcentral lists this ribosomal RNA (497 nucleotides) under uncultured bacterium. RNAcentral's name for it is "partial 16S ribosomal RNA". It matches the Rfam family "Bacterial small subunit ribosomal RNA", at positions 28 to 507 of the family's 1533-position model. The record is from RNAcentral.
GAUGAACGCUGGCGGCGUGCCUAAUACAUGCAAGUCGAGCGAACAGACGAGGAGCUUGCUCCUCUGACGUUAGCGGCGGACGGGUGAGUAACACGUGGAUAACUGAUCUAGAAGACUGGGAUAACUUCGGGAAACCGGAGCCAAUACCGGACAAGAUAUUGAACCGCAUGGUUCAAUAGUGAAAGACGGUUUUGCUGUCACUUAUAGAUGGAACCGCGCCGCAUUAGCUAGUUGGUAAGGUAACGGCUUACCAAGGCAACGAUGCGUAGCCGACCUGAGAGGGUGAUCAGCCACACUGGAACUGAGACACGGUCCAGACUCCUACGGGAGGCAGCAGUAGGGAAUCUUCCGCAAUGGGCGAAAGCCUGACGGAGCAACGCCGCGUGAGUGAUGAAGGUCUUCGGAUCGUAAAACUCUGUUAUUAGGGAAGAACAAAUGUGUAAGUAACUAUGCACGUCUUGACGGUACCUACUCAGAAAGCCACGGCUAACUACGUG